AUUGAAACACCCGUUCCCGUACAAUCACCGACGUUAAGCAACGUCGAGCCUGAUCAGGACCAAGAUGGGUGACUGCUUGGAAAUACCAGCUGCUGUAAG
Molecule: ribosomal RNA, 99 nt
Filed under: Acanthosepion pharaonis
Lineage: Eukaryota; Metazoa; Mollusca; Cephalopoda; Sepiida; Sepiidae
Source: RNAcentral